GUGAGUCAUCGAAUCUUUGAACGCACAUUGCGCUCCCUGGUAUUCCGGGGAGCAUGCCUGUUCGAGCGUCAUUAUCAACCCUCAAGCCCAGCUUGGUAUUGGGAGUCGCCCCUGCUGUGGGCGUUCCCUAAAGCCGUCGGCCGUGGUAGUUUAACCUCAAGCGUAGUAGAAUCUCCAGCUUUUUAGGUUGCUGCCGCCGUGCCUAGCGUUUAUACACAUUUUCAAAGGUUGACCUCGGAUCAGGUAGGGAUACCCGCUGAACUUAAGCAUAUCAAUAAGCGGAGGA
This 286-nucleotide unclassified non-coding RNA is filed under the name fungal sp. RNAcentral describes it as "partial contains 5.8S ribosomal RNA, internal transcribed spacer 2, and large subunit ribosomal RNA". The stretch from base 1 to 71 matches the Rfam family "5.8S ribosomal RNA", at positions 84 to 154 of the family's 154-position model. The record is from RNAcentral. Lineage: Eukaryota; Fungi.